UGGUAAAAGCUUAGUAGUUCUUAGUUGUGCUGUCUAAAACCAGUGAUGACUGCACAUGGAGGUGCGGUCAAGCAAUCAGUGACACGAUGUUGCAUUGAUUGCGGUCACGUUCGGUUAAAUUAAAUCAGCACAACUUAGAAAUACUUAGC
Molecule: non-coding RNA, 149 nt
Filed under: uncultured Lachnospira sp.
Lineage: Bacteria; Bacillati; Bacillota; Clostridia; Lachnospirales; Lachnospiraceae
Source: RNAcentral